Molecule: ribosomal RNA, 464 nt
Filed under: uncultured bacterium
Lineage: Bacteria
Description: partial 16S ribosomal RNA
Rfam family: Bacterial small subunit ribosomal RNA
Source: RNAcentral
GACGAACGCUGGCGGCGUGCUUAACACAUGCAAGUCGAACGGUAAGGCCCCUUCGGGGGUACACGAGUGGCGAACGGGUGAGUAACACGUGGGUGAUCUGCCCUGCACUUCGGGAUAAGCCUGGGAAACUGGGUCUAAUACCGGAUAGGACCACGCUCUGCAUGGAGUGUGGUGGAAAGCUUUUGCGGUGUGGGAUGGGCCCGCGGCCUAUCAGCUUGUUGGUGGGGUGAUGGCCUACCAAGGCGACGACGGGUAGCCGGCCUGAGAGGGUGUCCGGCCACACUGGGACUGAGGUACGGCCCAGACUCCUACGGGAGGCAGCAGGGGGGAAUAUUGCACAAUGGGCGCAAGGCUGAUGCAGCGACGCCGCGUGGGGGAUGACGGCCUUCGGGUUGUAAACCUCUUUCAGUACCGACGAAGCGGAAGUGACGGUAGGUACAGAAGAAGCACCGGCCAACUACGUG